GAUGAACGCUGGCGGCGUGCCUAAUACAUGCAAGUCGAGCGAACAGACGCGGAGCUUGCUCCUCUGACGUUAGCGGCGGACGGGUGAGUAACACGUGGAUAACCUACCUAUAAGACUGGGAUAACUUCGGGAAACCGGAGCUAAUACCGGAUAAUAUAUUGAACCGCAUGGUGCAAUAGUGAAAGACGGUUUUGCUGUCACUUAUAGAUGGAUCCGCGCCGCAUUAGCUAGUUGGUAAGGUAACGGCUUACCAAGGCAACGAUGCGUAGCCGACCUGAGAGGGUGAUCGGCCACACUGGAACUGAGACACGGUCCAGACUCCUACGGGAGGCAGCAGUAGGGAAUCUUCCGCAAUGGGCGAAAGCUUGACGGAGCAACGCCGCGUGAGUGAUGAAGGUCUUCGGAUCGUAAAACUCUGUUAUUAGGGAAGAACAAAUGUGUAAGUAACUAUGCACGUCUUGACGGUACCUAAUCAGAAAGCCACGGCUAACUACGUG
RNAcentral lists this ribosomal RNA (497 nucleotides) under uncultured bacterium. RNAcentral describes it as "partial 16S ribosomal RNA". It matches the Rfam family "Bacterial small subunit ribosomal RNA", at positions 28 to 507 of the family's 1533-position model. The record is from RNAcentral.